This 483-nucleotide ribosomal RNA is filed under the name uncultured bacterium. Its description in RNAcentral is "bacterial SSU rRNA". It matches the Rfam family "Bacterial small subunit ribosomal RNA", at positions 28 to 507 of the family's 1533-position model. The record is from RNAcentral.
GAUGAACGCUAGCGGAGGCUUAACACAUGCAAGUCGAGGGCAUCACGAGGUAGCAAUACUUGGUGGCGACCGGCGCACGGGUGAGUAACACGUAUGCAACCUUCCCUGUACAGGGGGAUAACCCGGAGAAAUUCGGACUAAUACCCCAUGAUGAUAUUAGUGGGGCAUCCUUUAAUAUUUAAAGCUCUGGCGGUACAGGAUGGGCAUGCGCGACAUUAGCUAGUUGGUAAGGUAACGGCUUACCAAGGCGACGAUGUUUAGGGGACCUGAGAGGGUUGUCCCCCACACUGGUACUGAGACACGGACCAGACUCCUACGGGAGGCAGCAGUGAGGAAUAUUGGUCAAUGGGCGCAAGCCUGAACCAGCCAUCCCGCGUGAAGGAAGAAUGCGCUACGCGUUGUAAACUUCUUUCCAGGGGGAGAAUAAUCCUGUCGUGACAGGACUUGACGGUACUCUGGGAAUAAGCAUCGGCUAACUCCGUG